CCUCCUUUUAAGGGAGACCAACUGGGAUCAAAGCAUUGGUUAAAAUUAAGCUUUGAAAGACCAGGAAUCCUGAUUAGAAGGUCGGUCGUGCGAGGAAACAAAGGGUAAAAAAAGCUUUCCAACUAUGCUUAGGGUUCGUCUUACUUAAGAGUUAAGAGUUAAUUUUUAACAAUUAACAGCAAGGGCUAUUAGCUCAGGUGGUUAGAGCGCACCCCUGAUAAGGGUGAGGUCCCUGGUUCAAGUCCAGGAUAGCCCAGGUAAGCUCAAACAAAUAAACCCCGCAUAGAUAAGGGGGUAUAGCUCAGUUGGUAGAGCGCUGCCUUUGCAAGGCAGAUGUCAGCGGUUCGAGUCCGCUUACCUCCACCAAGGGGGUAAACCAAUCAACCGAAAAACCCUAAGAAACUGAAAAAACUUGAAUUCAGCAACUAGACUUGCCUUCAAAACCUGAAAAACAGGUCUAAUAAUCAAGUCAGAAUGCUGGAGUCAAAACUCCAGUUGUUAACAGAACCUUGAAAACUGCAUAGUAAAAAGUUAAUUAAAGUCGCAAAAAGUAACUAACUUUGAAGCGUAAAGCUAGCUUGAGCGCAAGCUCAAAAAAAGCGAUACGCUACAAAACCCAAAACUGUUCAGGAAAAGCCAGUUACUUAAAAAAAAGACCACAAAAGUAACCAGCUUAAAACAAAAAAAAGUGGUCA
Molecule: transfer RNA, 695 nt
Filed under: Leptochromothrix engenei BLCC-M83
Lineage: Bacteria; Bacillati; Cyanobacteriota; Cyanophyceae; Oscillatoriales; Vermifilaceae
Description: partial 16S-23S ribosomal RNA intergenic spacer
Rfam family: tRNA (bases 291-363)
Source: RNAcentral